Molecule: ribosomal RNA, 2057 nt
Filed under: Salmonella enterica
Lineage: Bacteria; Pseudomonadati; Pseudomonadota; Gammaproteobacteria; Enterobacterales; Enterobacteriaceae
Description: partial 23S ribosomal RNA
Rfam family: Bacterial large subunit ribosomal RNA
Source: RNAcentral
UCAUCUCCGGGGGUAGAGCACUGUUUCGGCUAGGGGGCCAUCCCGGCUUACCAACCCGAUGCAAACUGCGAAUACCGGAGAAUGUUAUCACGGGAGACACACGGCGGGUGCUAACGUCCGUCGUGAAGAGGGAAACAACCCAGACCGCCAGCUAAGGUCCCAAAGUCAUGGUUAAGUGGGAAACGAUGUGGGAAGGCCCAGACAGCCAGGAUGUUGGCUUAGAAGCAGCCAUCAUUUAAAGAAAGCGUAAUAGCUCACUGGUCGAGUCGGCCUGCGCGGAAGAUGUAACGGGGCUAAACCAUGCACCGAAGCUGCGGCAGCGACACUGUGUGUUGUUGGGUAGGGGAGCGUUCUGUAAGCCUGUGAAGGUGGCCUGUGAGGGUUGCUGGAGGUAUCAGAAGUGCGAAUGCUGACAUAAGUAACGAUAAAGCGGGUGAAAAGCCCGCUCGCCGGAAGACCAAGGGUUCCUGUCCAACGUUAAUCGGGGCAGGGUGAGUCGACCCCUAAGGCGAGGCCGAAAGGCGUAGUCGAUGGGAAACAGGUUAAUAUUCCUGUACUUGGUGUUACUGCGAAGGGGGGACGGAGAAGGCUAUGUUGGCCGGGCGACGGUUGUCCCGGUUUAAGCGUGUAGGCUGGUUUUCCAGGCAAAUCCGGAAAAUCAAGGCUGAGGCGUGACGACGAGGCACUACGGUGCUGAAGCAACAAAUGCCCUGCUUCCAGGAAAAGCCUCUAAGCAUCAGGUAACAUCAAAUCGUACCCCAAACCGACACAGGUGGUCAGGUAGAGAAUACCAAGGCGCUUGAGAGAACUCGGGUGAAGGAACUAGGCAAAAUGGUGCCGUAACUUCGGGAGAAGGCACGCUGACACGUAGGUGAAGUGAUUUACUCAUGGAGCUGAAGUCAGUCGAAGAUACCAGCUGGCUGCAACUGUUUAUUAAAAACACAGCACUGUGCAAACACGAAAGUGGACGUAUACGGUGUGACGCCUGCCCGGUGCCGGAAGGUUAAUUGAUGGGGUCAGCGCAAGCGAAGCUCCUGAUCGAAGCCCCGGUAAACGGCGGCCGUAACUAUAACGGUCCUAAGGUAGCGAAAUUCCUUGUCGGGUAAGUUCCGACCUGCACGAAUGGCGUAAUGAUGGCCAGGCUGUCUCCACCCGAGACUCAGUGAAAUUGAACUCGCUGUGAAGAUGCAGUGUACCCGCGGCAAGACGGAAAGACCCCGUGAACCUUUACUAUAGCUUGACACUGAACAUUGAGCCUUGAUGUGUAGGAUAGGUGGGAGGCUUUGAAGUGUGGACGCCAGUCUGCAUGGAGCCGACCUUGAAAUACCACCCUUUAAUGUUUGAUGUUCUAACGUGGACCCGUAAUCCGGGUUGCGGACAGUGUCUGGUGGGUAGUUUGACUGGGGCGGUCUCCUCCUAAAGAGUAACGGAGGAGCACGAAGGUUGGCUAAUCCUGGUCGGACAUCAGGAGGUUAGUGCAAUGGCAUAAGCCAGCUUGACUGCGAGCGUGACGGCGCGAGCAGGUGCGAAAGCAGGUCAUAGUGAUCCGGUGGUUCUGAAUGGAAGGGCCAUCGCUCAACGGAUAAAAGGUACUCCGGGGAUAACAGGCUGAUACCGCCCAAGAGUUCAUAUCGACGGCGGUGUUUGGCACCUCGAUGUCGGCUCAUCACAUCCUGGGGCUGAAGUAGGUCCCAAGGGUAUGGCUGUUCGCCAUUUAAAGUGGUACGCGAGCUGGGUUUAGAACGUCGUGAGACAGUUCGGUCCCUAUCUGCCGUGGGCGCUGGAGAACUGAGGGGGGCUGCUCCUAGUACGAGAGGACCGGAGUGGACGCAUCACUGGUGUUCGGGUUGUCAUGCCAAUGGCACUGCCCGGUAGCUAAAUGCGGAAGAGAUAAGUGCUGAAAGCAUCUAAGCACGAAACUUGCCCCGAGAUGAGUUCUCCCUGAGACUUAGAGUCUCCUGAAGGAACGUUGAAGACGACGACGUUGAUAGGCCGGGUGUGUAAGCGCAGCGAUGCGUUGAGCUAACCGGUACUAAUGAACCGUGAGGCUUAACCUU